AGGCUUAACACAUGCAAGUCGNAGGGGCAGCAUGGUCUUAGCUUGCUAAGGCCGAUGGCGACCGGCGCACGGGUGAGUAACACGUAUCCAACCUGCCGUCUACUCUUGGACAGCCUUCUGAAAGGAAGAUUAAUACAAGAUGGCAUCAUGAGUCCGCAUGUUCACAUGAUUAAAGGUAUUCCGGUAGACGAUGGGGAUGCGUUCCAUUAGAUAGUAGGCGGGGUAACGGCCCACCUAGUCUUCGAUGGAUAGGGGUUCUGAGAGGAAGGUCCCCCACAUUGGAACUGAGACACGGUCCAAACUCCUACGGGAGGCAGCAGUGAGGAAUAUUGGUCAAUGGGCGAGAGCCUGAACCAGCCAAGUAGCGUGAAGGAUGACUGCCCUAUGGGUUGUAAACUUCUUUUAUAAAGGAAUAAAGUCGGGUAUGCAUACCCGUUUGCAUGUACUUUAUGAAUAAGGAUCGGCUAACUCCGUGCCAGCAGCCGCGGUAAUACGGAGGAUCCGAGCGUUAUCCGGAUUUAUUGGGUUUAAAGGGAGCGUAGAUGGAUGUUUAAGUCAGUUGUGAAAGUUUGCGGCUCAACCGUAAAAUUGCAGUUGAUACUGGAUAUCUUGAGUG
RNAcentral lists this ribosomal RNA (616 nucleotides) under uncultured Bacteroidales bacterium. RNAcentral describes it as "bacterial SSU rRNA". It matches the Rfam family "Bacterial small subunit ribosomal RNA", at positions 44 to 648 of the family's 1533-position model. Lineage: Bacteria; Pseudomonadati; Bacteroidota; Bacteroidia; Bacteroidales. The record is from RNAcentral.